GAUGAACGCUAGCGGGAGGCCUAACACAUGCAAGCCGAGCGGUAUUGUUUCUUCGGAAAUGAGAGAGCGGCGUACGGGUGCGGAACACGUGUGCAACCUGCCUUUAUCUGGGGGAUAGCCUUUCGAAAGGAAGAUUAAUACUCCAUAAUAUAUUGAUUGGCAUCAAUUAAUAUUGAAAGCUCCGGCGGAUAGAGAUGGGCACGCGCAAGAUUAGCUAGUUGGUGAGGUAACGGCUCACCAAGGCGAUGAUCUUUAGGGGGCCUGAGAGGGUGAUCCCCCACACUGGUACUGAGACACGGACCAGACUCCUACGGGAGGCAGCAGUGGGGAAUUUUGGACAAUGGGGGAAACCCUGAUCCAGCAAUGCCGCGUGAGUGAAGAAGGCC
RNAcentral lists this ribosomal RNA (386 nucleotides) under uncultured bacterium. RNAcentral describes it as "bacterial SSU rRNA". It matches the Rfam family "Bacterial small subunit ribosomal RNA", at positions 28 to 416 of the family's 1533-position model. The record is from RNAcentral.